CUGAAGGGGAGAUCCCCCACACUGGUACUGAGACACGGACCAGAAUGAUACGGGAGGCAGCAGUGAGGAAUAUUGGACAAUGGGCGAGAGCCUGAUCCAGCCAUGCCGCGUGCAGGAAGACUGCCCAGCAUUGUAAACUGCUUUUAUACAGGAACGGCUGCCUUACGUGUAAGGUGCGGUGGU
Molecule: ribosomal RNA, 183 nt
Filed under: uncultured bacterium
Lineage: Bacteria
Description: partial 16S ribosomal RNA
Rfam family: Bacterial small subunit ribosomal RNA
Source: RNAcentral